This is a long non-coding RNA of Drosophila mojavensis, 1278 nucleotides long. RefSeq lists it as uncharacterized. The record is from RefSeq and is a predicted model, not a curated record. The transcript has 4 exons. NCBI's taxonomy places the organism in Eukaryota, Metazoa, Arthropoda, Insecta, Diptera, Drosophilidae.
GUGUGUCAAAAACUUUACCGUUAGCUCCUUAAAAAAAAGAACAAAAAAAGCACAAAAAGAAACAAAAAACAGUUAAAACACUUGAAACACUUUUGCCUGCAUAUGAAAUGUUCAUUGUGCUGUUGCCGUUGUUGUUAUUGUUGUUGUUGUCGUUGUCGUUGUUGCCUUUUAUUGAAUUUGAAGUGGGCCAUUGAGCCAGCUGCCGUUUGCUCACGGUCCUGCAACUACAACAUUGCGCAUUAUCAUUCACAACUCAUCCGAUUGCCAUUGCCUCGCAUGCCACCCCCACCCCAGCCCCAUCGGAGUGGAGCGCUGUACCCGAAUCGUGCAACUGCCCCAAGGGCAUGCUUAUGCAGGUGCAAAAGGGGCGAGCAGCACGCUUUAUUGUCCUUCUGCGGCGCACAGAAAAUCAACUUGGCCGAGCUUGCUCACACAUACAUACAUACAUACAUACAUACAUUGUGUGUCCGGAUAAAGUUGACGAGCUCUAGAGACCACAAACAACAACAAACUGCAAAUGGAGCGGGGGGAGAUGGGAGCUGGCCCUGGAGCUGGAGCUGGGUAUUAAUACCAGCGGAGCUACGAUAUUCCCUCUAUAUAUGUACAUAUGUAUGUAUGUGUGUAUAUGCUCUACGGUUUACAGCUUACGCUCUAAGGUAAGUGGGGCGGAGUGGGCAGCAGUGACGGGAAAUAAUGCAAGUUAAUGCGCUUGUGUACACGGACAUAAUGUAUAAUUAAUUUGGCUCGACAUGCACAUUUGCCAGCGGCCACCUGUUGAGCUCCGGCUCUCACCUGCCGCGCCACGCCCCCAGUUCAACCAGCCAACCCAUUGAAAAGUGGCAUAACGAGCACUCAGGCAACGGCUUAAAAGUGCUCACAAAUUGCUACAUGGCAAUGUCUGUGUUACAGUCGAGAGAUGUGCAUGUGUGUGUGUGUGUGUGUGUGUGUGUGUGUGUGUGUGUGUGUGUGUGUGUGUGAGUAUGAGUGUGUGUUGCUGGGCUGCUGCUUUCAUCAACACUUCCGCUGCAGCAGCAGCAGCAGCAGCUGUUGAAAAAGAGCUGCAAACUGAAACUGCAAUUGAAGCGCUUUUCACUGCAGACAGCAGACCUACCUGGACACAAAGAACAAAAAACUGGUUAAGGUGUACUAAUUGGCCAUGCUCAGCGGGCACAUGCCCUGUAAUUAGCUGCAAGCUAUCAUUAGAAAUGAAUUGUAUAUAUACCCUUUAAUUAACUGCAAGCUAUCAUUAUAAAUACAUUGUAUGUAUAUAUAUAUACU